Molecule: ribosomal RNA, 393 nt
Filed under: uncultured bacterium
Lineage: Bacteria
Description: partial 16S ribosomal RNA
Rfam family: Bacterial small subunit ribosomal RNA
Source: RNAcentral
NNNNNNNNNNNNNNACACAUGCAAGUCGAACGGUAACGCGGNGCAACCUGGCGACGAGUGGCGAACGGGUGAGUAAUACAUCGGAACGUACCCAGUAGUGGGGGAUAGCCCGGCGAAAGCCGGAUUAAUACCGCAUACGACCUACGGGUGAAAGCGGGGGAUCGCAAGACCUCGCGCUAUUGGAGCGGCCGAUGUCAGAUUAGGUAGUUGGUGGGGUAAAGGCCUACCAAGCCUGCGAUCUGUAGCUGGUCUGAGAGGGCGACCAGCCACACUGGGACUGAGACACGGCCCAGACUCCUACGGGAGGCAGCAGUGGGGAAUUUUGGACAAUGGGCGCAAGCCUGAUCCAGCCAUGCCGCGUGCGGGAAGAAGGGCCUUCGGGUUGUAGACCGC